UGUAACUGAGUUUUUAAACACACAUUUGCUCACAGAUUUGUAUUCAAUGAAAGUGUCAACAUAAUUUGAUUUUAAAAUAAACAAAACGUUUACGAUUAUUCUAAAUGCAAAAAAAAUAGUCCAAAAAAGUCCAUCCAUCCAUCCAUUUUCUACCGCUUAUUCCCUUUGGGGUCGCGGGGGACGCUGGUGCCUAUCUCAGCUACAAUCGGGCGGAAGGCGGUGUACACCCUGGACAAGUCGCCACCUCAUCGCAGGGUACAUCAGACACAACUGAAGCUCUCUACAAUACUAGACUUUUGAGGAACAAAGCAAAACACGAUGAUUCAAAGCAGAAUGGAUGCACAAAAAAGUCAAGCAACCAUCCAGAGGAUCCUGAUUGGCAACCAGGAAAAGGUGUGUCCUGAUUGCCAAUCAAUGAGGAAACCCGCACCCAAACAGGAAAAAUACUGACAAACAGGAAAUACAGACAAAAAAUAAGAGCGCUAGACAGGAAAUACAACAAAAUGCCAGAAACUAAUAUUGUUGUGAGUUCAGUAGUAAAAGUUAUAUUGCAUUUUGACUCCAUACUGAAUUUUCACCCGAUGGCCGAAUACCCCUAACUUUUUGUUAGCAACAAAUGUAUUAUUAGUAGUAGAAAAGUCCCAUUAUUACUAUUUUCUGCAAUAAAAAAAAGCAAACUUUGUUUUUUCCUUGACGCUGCAACCCUGUUGUUAGACUGCCCUCUAGCGGCAUAUUUUAUACUGCAGCGACAAGUCCAAGGGCGUAUACUGUAAAUGACGUCACAGCAGCGGGGGAUUUCACGACGCGUUCAAGGAAGCUGGGAAGUUGGAAACAUCCCACUUGAAGCUUCUACGCGUGAGGGUAAACACGAUGGACGACCUCAGGGGUCCGGUCCGAUCCGGUGGCCAUGUACUGCUCGCCUGUGUAUCGGCUGGGGACAUCUCUGCGCUGCUGGUCCGCCUACGCUUGGGAUGGUUUCCUGCUGGCUCCGCUGUGAACGGGACUCUCGCUGCUGUGUCUUAGAUCCUCUUUGGACUGGACUCUCGCGACUGUGUUGGAUCCAUUGUGGAUUGAACUUUCACAGUAUCAUGUUAGACCCGCUCGACAUCCAUUGCUUUCCUCCUCUCUAAGGUUCUCAUAGUCAUCAUUGUCACCGACGUCCCACUGGGUGUGAGUUUUCCUUGCCCUUAUGUGGGCCUACCGAGGAUGUCGUGGUGGUUUGUGCAGCCCUUUGAGACACUAGUGAUUUAGGGCUAUAUAAGUAAACAUUGAUUGAUUGAUUGAAUUUAUACAAUUAAUUCAUUUUUCAAACUGAGACUCACUGACUUUGGCUCAUUUUCUGUGAAGAACAUAUAUCAGAAUACAUAUUUAAUGACCACACACCAUACACCCCCUUACACAUUUCUAUUAAAUAUAAAUGAUAAAUGG
This is a long non-coding RNA of Nerophis ophidion (straightnose pipefish), 1428 nucleotides long. RefSeq lists it as uncharacterized. Lineage: Eukaryota; Metazoa; Chordata; Actinopteri; Syngnathiformes; Syngnathidae. The record is from RefSeq and is a predicted model, not a curated record. The transcript is spliced from 2 exons.